Molecule: ribosomal RNA, 360 nt
Filed under: uncultured bacterium
Lineage: Bacteria
Description: bacterial SSU rRNA
Rfam family: Bacterial small subunit ribosomal RNA
Source: RNAcentral
GAGUUUGAUCAUGGCUCAAAACGAACGCUGGCGGCAGGCCUAACACAUGCAAGUCGAGCGAGCAUUUCGGUGCUAGCGGCGGACGGGUUAGUAACCCGUGGGAACGUGCCCUUUCGUACCGAAUACUCCUGGGAAACUGGGGGUAAUACCGUAUGUGCCCUUCGGGGGAAAGAUUUAUCGGCAAAGGAUCGGCCCCCGUUGGAUUAGGUAAUUGGUGGGGUAAUGGCCUACCAAGCCGACCAUCCAUAUCUGGUUUGAGAGGAUGAUCCGCCACACUGGGACUGAAACACUGCCCAAACUCCUACGGGACGCAACAAAUCCAAUUCCCCCCGGCGCCAUGGCUUCCGGGACAUUCUACUC